AACGAACGCUGGCGGCAGGCCUAACACAUGCAAGUCGAACGCCGUAGCAAUACGGAGUGGCAGACGGGUGAGUAACACGUGGGAACGUACCUUUCGGUUCGGAAUAACUCAGGGAAACUUGAGCUAAUACCGGAUACGUGCGAGAGCAGAAAGAUUUAUCGCCGAAAGAUCGGCCCGCGUCCGAUUAGCUAGUUGGUGAGGUAACGGCUCACCAAGGCGACGAUCGGUAGCUGGUCUGAGAGGAUGAUCAGCCACACUGGGACUGAGACACGGCCCAGACUCCUACGGGAGGCAGCAGUGGGGAAUAUUGGACAAUGGGCGCAAGCCUGAUCCAGCCAUGCCGCGUGAGUGAAGAAGG
RNAcentral lists this ribosomal RNA (358 nucleotides) under uncultured bacterium. RNAcentral describes it as "bacterial SSU rRNA". It matches the Rfam family "Bacterial small subunit ribosomal RNA", at positions 29 to 414 of the family's 1533-position model. The record is from RNAcentral.